UACGUAGGGUGCAAGCGUUAAUCGGAAUGACUGGGCGUAAAGCGUGCGCAGGCGGUUUUAUUAGACAGGUGUGAAAUCCCCGAGCUUAACUUGGGAAUUGCAUUUGUGACUGUAAGGCUAGAGUGUGUCAGAGGGGGGUGGAAUUCCACGUGUAGCAGUGAAAUGCGUAGAUAUGUGGAGGAACACCAAUGGCGAAGGCAGCCCCCUGGGAUAUCACUGACUCUCAUGCACGAAAGCGUGGGGAGCAAACAGG
This 253-nucleotide ribosomal RNA is filed under the name uncultured bacterium. RNAcentral's name for it is "partial 16S ribosomal RNA". It matches the Rfam family "Bacterial small subunit ribosomal RNA", at positions 524 to 776 of the family's 1533-position model. The record is from RNAcentral.